CUUGAUUUUUGGACUAAAUAAUAUGGGUUUAAGGAUUUUGCUUAUAGGCCCAAAUCAAUUAAAAGGCCCAACAUGCAUAGUAUCUCUAGAAGCAUUAUCUAGAAAAAUCUAUAUAAAUAUCUACUAGAAAAAUCUAUAUAAAUAUCUAAGUAAGAUAUGUAGUUUUAUAAAGAAUAUCUAGAGAAUUCUAGNUGUUAGGAUCUUCCUCAAGCUGCUCAAAGUGAUUUCCGGGCUCAGUUAACCAUUAAACAUCGAAUUCAACACCAAAAAUCGAGAUGACCGACCGCCGGCGCCAACUUCUUCCUAUGGUUGCUAUUGCUCUUUUGCUUGUUGAUUCUACCACACACUUAGGAUGGAUACCACACAGGUAAGAGUCACAAAGCCUCAAGCAAUUGGUAGGGAAGAUUAAUCACGAAGAAGAAGGCAGCAGUUCUCUUUCUCUCUCGGGUUCUUUCAAACGGGACAAAGGAGAAGGAGUUAACUACCAAUAUAUAUAUAUAUAUAUAUUAGUUCAAUGGCCAACUUAAGGUAAGUCACAAUAUGGUAAGUAGGCUCGACUAGGGUUAAGUCCCAAUAGAAAAACAACAAGCCACAAAGAUUAUUAGCCAUCCAAUAGGUAAAGCAACGCUAAGUCGGUUCAUCCAUUAUUCGGUGUUGAUUUAUGGUUCAGUCAUUCAUGUCGACUGAUAAAAUUGGUUUUCAUCAUCGUCCGGGAGGUCGUUUGACAACAUGAUGUCUAACAGUAACUUUGGGUGUGUCUACUUCUGCUUUUUCCCCAGAUCGGUAACCCUUUGUUUUGCUUGUGUUUUUGGCUUUUUGCAAUGCGUAUGAUAGAGGCCCAACUAACAGAGUGACACAUGCUAAACAUAUAUAUUAUCAUAUGACCAGAUUGAUAGCUCAAUAUUCACCAAGUGAUCAUCAUCCAAAUAUUAGUACAAUAUUUUUUUAUACAUUACCUACCUAGAGGGAAGCACCUUGCAGUUCAUCUCUCAAUUCCUAGACAGCAACAUAUAUAUAAUGAAAGUUCUCUCUGCGUAUGGCAGUGACACACAGCAUAGCAAUAGAUAACCCUCCUACAAUCAAGCAAUGUAAUGCAUUAACCUGGUACCUCUAUUUUCAAGAGACAAAAUAUACCUGUGAAGUUUCCAGUACAAAUCCUAUCCCAAUUUAAUUCCGUAUUUAAACCCAGCCAAACACAACCGAAUCAAGUUCGGUCGGGUUCGGUUGGUCGGUUUAGUUCAUCGACUACAGAAAAAAUAAAAAAAAGGAGAGGGAGAGAAAGACAGUAAAAUGGUAAACACCAUUUGCACAUGCACCUAGAGUGUUGAGUAGUAAACUUGAUUUUUGGACCAAAUAAUAUGGGCUUAAGGAUUUUGCUUAUAGGCCCAAAUCAAUUAAAAUGCCCAACAUGUAUAGCAUUUCUAGAAGCAUUAUCUAGAAAAAUCUAUAUAAAUAUCUACUAGAAAAAUCUAUAUAAAUAUCUAAGUAAAAUAUAUGAUUUUAUAAAGAAUAUCUAGAGAAUUCUAGGAAAAUAUCUUGAUAAGUGGUCUAGGUGUCUCUAGAAAAUGUGUGGACUAGAAUCUUCUUAUAAACACUAUAUAAAGGGGUAGUGCCCUCCAUUUUGUAACAAGCCAAAAAGUGUGUAAAGUCUUGAAUUUGAGAAAUACAAGUUUCCU
Molecule: long non-coding RNA, 1676 nt
Filed under: Olea europaea subsp. europaea
Lineage: Eukaryota; Viridiplantae; Streptophyta; Magnoliopsida; Lamiales; Oleaceae
Source: RNAcentral